RNAcentral lists this ribosomal RNA (1256 nucleotides) under Heyndrickxia coagulans. Its description in RNAcentral is "bacterial SSU rRNA". It matches the Rfam family "Bacterial small subunit ribosomal RNA", at positions 141 to 1382 of the family's 1533-position model. The record is from RNAcentral. Lineage: Bacteria; Bacillati; Bacillota; Bacilli; Caryophanales; Bacillaceae.
GGAUAACGCCGGGAACCGGGGCUAAUACCGGAUAGUUUUUCCUCCGCAGGAGGAAAAGGAAAGGCGGCUUCGGCUGCCACUUACAGAUGGCCCCGCGGCGCAUUAGCUAGUUGGCGGGGUAACGGCCCACCAAGGCAACGAUGCGUAGCCGACCUGAGAGGGUGAUCGGCCACAUUGGGACUGAGACACGGCCCAAACUCCUACGGGAGGCAGCAGUAGGGAAUCUUCCGCAAUGGACGAAAGUCUGACGGAGCAACGCCGCGUGAGUGAAGAAGGCCUUCGGGUCGUAAAACUCUGUUGCCGGGGAAGAACAAGUGCCGUUCGAACAGGGCGGCGCCUUGACGGUACCCGGCCAGAAAGCCACGGCUAACUACGUGCCAGCAGCCGCGGUAAUACGUAGGUGGCAAGCGUUGUCCGGAAUUAUUGGGCGUAAAGCGCGCGCAGGCGGCUUCUUAAGUCUGAUGUGAAAUCUUGCGGCUCAAACCGCAAGCGGUCAUUGGAAACUGGGAGGCUUGAGUGCAGAAGAGGAGAGUGGAAUUCCACGUGUAGCGGUGAAAUGCGUAGAGAUGUGGAGGAACACCAGUGGCGAAGGCGGCUCUCUGGUCUGUAACUGACGCUGAGGCGCGAAAGCGUGGGGAGCAAACAGGAUUAGAUACCCUGGUAGUCCACGCCGUAAACGAUGAGUGCUAAGUGUUAGAGGGGUUUCCGCCCUUUAGUGCUGCAGCUAACGCAUUAAGCACUCCGCCUGGGGAGUACGGCCGCAAAGGCUGAAACUCAAAGGAAUUGACGGGGGCCCGCACAAGCGGUGGAGCAUGUGGUUUAAUUCGAAGCAACGCGAAGAACCUUACCAGGUCUUGACAUCCUCUGACCUCCCUGGAGACAGGGCCUUCCCCUUCGGGGGACAGAGUGACAGGUGGUGCAUGGUUGUCGUCAGCUCGUGUCGUGAGAUGUUGGGUUAAGUCCCGCAACGAGCGCAACCCUUGACCUUAGUUGCCAGCAUUCAGUUGGGCACUCUAAGGUGACUGCCGGUGACAAACCGGAGGAAGGUGGGGAUGACGUCAAAUCAUCAUGCCCCUUAUGACCUGGGCUACACACGUGCUACAAUGGAUGGUACAAAGGGCUGCGAGACCGCGAGGUUAAGCCAAUCCCAGAAAACCAUUCCCAGUUCGGAUUGCAGGCUGCAACCCGCCUGCAUGAAGCCGGAAUCGCUAGUAAUCGCGGAUCAGCAUGCCGCGGUGAAUACGUUCCCGGGCCUU